UCAGAGCGUCGCCGCAGGUUCGCCUGCGGUCGCGAUGGCGUGCCUUUUGAAGAAUGAGCCUGCGAGUUGCGGUGUGUGGCGAGGUUAACCAGUGAUGGGGAGCCGGAGCGAAAGCGAGUCCGAACAGGGCGUUUAGUCGCAUGCCGCAGACCCGAAGCCGAGUGAUCUACCCAUGGGCAGGUUGAAGCGGGGGUAAGACCCCGUGGAGGACCGAACCCACCUAGGUUGAAAACUGGGGGGAUGACCUGUGGGUAGGGGUGAAAGGCCAAUCAAACUCGGUGAUAGCUGGUUCUCCCCGAAAUGCAUUUCGGUGCAGCGUCGGGCGUUCAGUCAUGGAGGUAGAGCACUGGAUGGGCUAGGGGGCCUACAAGCUUACCGACCCCAACCAAACUCCGAAUGCCAUGACUCCAGAGCCCGGCAGUGAGUCCACGGGGGAUGAGCUUCGUGGACGAGAGGGAAACAGCCCAGACCGCCGGCUAAGGCCCCUAAUUCCGAACUAAGUGGGAAACGAUGUGGGAUCGCCCAGACAGCCAGGAGGUUGGCUUAGAAGCAGCCAUCCUUUAAAGAGUGCGUAACAGCUCACUGGUCGAGUGGUCCUGCGCGGACAAUGUAACGGGGCUCAAGUUCGGAGCCGAAGCCGCGGAUCUCUGCGCUCACGCGCAGGGGUGGUAGGGGAGCGUCGAUCUCGGAGUGAAGCGUCGGUGUGAACCGGCGUGGACCGUGGUCGAGUGAGAAUGCAGGCAUGAGUAGCGAAAGAGGGGUGAGAAACCCCUCCGCCGAAUGCCCAAGGGUUCCUGGGGAAGGCUAAUCCGCCCAGGGUGAGUCGGGAGCUAAGGCGAGGCCGAAAGGCGUAGUCGAUGCACAACCGGUUGAUAUUCCGGUACCGCCGUGCCCGCGCCCACGCCGAAUCCGGGUAGCUAAGGGGCUGUCUUCGGACGAACCGACCCACCUGGAGGAGGCGAGCGAUGCGGGGACGCAGGAGGGUAGGUGAGCCCAGGCGAUGGUUGUCCUGGGGUAAGCGUGUAGGCCGGGGACCAGGUAAGUCCGGGCCCCACACAGGCUGAGACGCGACACCGAGCCGCCACAGGCGAAGUCACCGAUCCCAUGCUGCCGAGAAAAGCCGCUAGCGAGCUGGCACGGCGCCCGUACCCCAAACCGACGCAGGUGGGCAGGUAGAGAAUACCAAGGCGAUCGGGAGAACGGUGGUUAAGGAACUCGGCAAAAUGCCUCCGUAACUUCGGGAGAAGGAGGGCCCCACUAGGGUGACAGGCCGCGCGCCUCGAGCUCGAAGGGGCCGCAGAGUCCAGGGGGAAGCGACUGUUUACUAAAAACACAGCAGCGUGCGAAGUCGUAAGACGCCGUAUACGCUGUGACGCCUGCCCGGUGCCGGAAGGUUACGGGGAAGGGUUAGCCGCAAGGCGAAGCUCUGAACCUAAGCCCCGGUAAACGGCGGCCGUAACUAUAACGGUCCUAAGGUAGCGAAAUUCCUUGUCGGGUAAGUUCCGACCUGCACGAAUGGCGUAACGACUUCCCCACUGUCUCAACCACCGACCCGGCGAAAAUUGAAGUACGAGUAAAGAUGCUCGUUAGCUGCGGCAGGACGGAAAGACCCCGUGGACCUUCACUACAGCUUGAUAUU
Molecule: ribosomal RNA, 1639 nt
Filed under: compost metagenome
Description: bacterial LSU rRNA
Rfam family: Bacterial large subunit ribosomal RNA
Source: RNAcentral